UGCCAGCAGCCGCGGUAGUACGGAGGGUGCAAGCGUUAAUCGGAAUUACUGGGCGUAAAGCGCGCGUAGGCGGAUUGUUAAGUCUCAUGUGAAAGCCCUGGGCUCAACCUGGGAACUGCAUGGGAUACUGGCAAUCUAGAAUACAGUAGAGGGUAGUGGAAUUUCAGGUGUAGCGGUGAAAUGCGUAGAUAUUCGGAGGAACACCAGUGGCGAAGGCGGCUUUCUGGACCGAUACUGACGCUGAGACGCGAAAGCGUGGGGAGCAAACAGGAUUAGAUA
Molecule: ribosomal RNA, 279 nt
Filed under: uncultured bacterium
Lineage: Bacteria
Description: partial 16S ribosomal RNA
Rfam family: Bacterial small subunit ribosomal RNA
Source: RNAcentral